CAAGGUUUGGUCCUAACCUUGAAAUCAAUUAUUACUUAAUAUACACAUGCAAGUCUCCGCACCCCUGUGAAAACGCCCUUAAAUUCCCAUUAGGAAUAAGGAGCCGGUAUCAGGCACAAUAAAACUGCCCAAGACACCUAGCUAUGCCACACCCACAAGGGAACUCAGCAGUGAUUAACAUUGAACAUAAGCGACAGCUUGACUCAGUUAAAGUAAAAAGAGCCGGCAAAUCUGGUGCCAGCCGCCGCGGUUACACCACGUGGCCCAAAUUGACUUCUAUCGGCGUAAAGCGUGAUUAAAGUAUACCACCAUUGGAGUUAAACUAAAACUAAGCUGUGACACGCUUGUGCUUAAGAAAACCAAAAACGAAAGUUACUCCAAAUCGACCAACUUGAACCCACGACAGCUGAAACACAAACUGGGAUUAGAUACCCCACUAUGCUCAGCCGUAAACUUUAAAUUACACCAAAAUCGCCAGGGAACUACGAGCAAAGCUUAAAACCCAAAGGACUUGACGGUACCCCACAUCCACCUAGAGGAGCCUGUCCUAUAAUCGAUACCCCCCGUUUAACCUCACCACUUUUAGCCAAAUCAGCCUGUAUACCUCCGUCGUCAGCUUACCACGUGAGCGCAACUUAGUGAGCCCAAUGCCCACACGCCAAUACGUCAGGUCAAGGUGCAGCAAAUGAAGUGGGAAGAGAUGGGCUACACUCUCUAAUGUAGAAAAUACAAAAGACUAUUUAUGAAACCUGGUCUGAAGGCGGAUUUAGAAGUAAAAAGAAAACACGAGUAUUCUUUUUAACCCGGCACUGGGGUGUGUACACACCGCCCGUCACCCUCCUCAAAGCCUAACGCAAAGUAAAAAACAACAAACGCAACACAGAAGAGGCAAGUCGUAACAUGGUAAGUAUACCGGAA
This 918-nucleotide non-coding RNA is filed under the name Hyalinobatrachium fragile (fragile glass frog). RNAcentral describes it as "partial 12S ribosomal RNA". It matches the Rfam family "Bacterial small subunit ribosomal RNA". The record is from RNAcentral. Lineage: Eukaryota; Metazoa; Chordata; Amphibia; Anura; Centrolenidae.